This 309-nucleotide ribosomal RNA is filed under the name Alexandrium margalefii. Its description in RNAcentral is "partial Bacterial large subunit ribosomal RNA". It matches the Rfam family "Bacterial large subunit ribosomal RNA", at positions 662 to 968 of the family's 2925-position model. The record is from RNAcentral. Lineage: Eukaryota; Dinophyceae; Gonyaulacales; Pyrocystaceae.
GGAGCCGUAGCGAAAGCGAGUCUGAACAGGGCGUUUUAGUUCGUUGGAUUAGACCCGAAACCGAGUGAUCUAGCCAUGGCCAGGUUGAAGGUGCGGUAACACGCACUGGAGGACCGAACCAUUUAAUGUUGAAAAAUUAUUGGAUGAGUUGUGUUUAGGGGUGAAAGGCCAAUCAAGCCGGGAAAUAGCUGGUUCUCCGCGAAAACUAUUGAGGUAGUGCCUCGGAUGUUUUCCUAUGGGGGUAGAGCACUGGAUGGGCUAGGGGGUCUCACCGACUUACCAAACCUAACCAAACUCCGAAUACCCAAG